RNAcentral lists this ribosomal RNA (492 nucleotides) under uncultured bacterium. RNAcentral describes it as "partial 16S ribosomal RNA". It matches the Rfam family "Bacterial small subunit ribosomal RNA", at positions 29 to 507 of the family's 1533-position model. The record is from RNAcentral.
AGUGAACGCUGGCGGUAGGCCUAACACAUGCCAGUCGAACGGCAGCACAGUAAGAGCUUGCUCUUACGGGUGGCGAGUGGCGGACGGGUGAGGAAUACAUCGGAAUCUACUUUUUCGUGGGGGAUAACGUAGGGAAACUUACGCUAAUACCGCAUACGACCUACGGGUGAAAGCAGGGGAUCUUCGGACCUUGCGGGAUUGAAUGAGCCGAUUUCGGAUGAGCUAGUUGGCGGGGUAAAGGCCCACCAAGUCGACGAUCCGUAGCUGGUCUGAGAGGAUGAUCAGCCACAUUGGAAGUGAGACACGGCCCAGACACCUACGGGAGGCAGCAGUGGGGAAUAUUGCACAAUGGGCGCAAGCGUGAUCCAGCCAUACCGCGUGAGUGAAGAAGGACUUCGGGUUGUAAAGCCCUUUUGUUGGGAAAGAAAAGAAGCAGUUUAAUACCCCGCGGUACUGACGGUACCCAAAGAAUAAGCACCGGCUAACUUCGUG